Non-coding RNA from Alexandromys fortis (reed vole), 339 nucleotides. The record is from the annotation of a RefSeq genome assembly. Lineage: Eukaryota; Metazoa; Chordata; Mammalia; Rodentia; Cricetidae.
AUGAAGAGGCUGCUGUGCUCUCUGCUGGGACUGCUGUGCACCCAGGUUUGCUGGGUGAAAGGGCAACAAGUGAAGCAGAGUCCUGAGUCCUUGGUUCUGCAGGAGGGAGAAAAUGCAGAGCUGCAGUGCAACUUUUCCACAGUUUUGAACAGUAUGCAGUGGUUUUACCAAAGUCCUGGGGGACACCUCAUCACCCUGUUUUAUAAUCCUUCUGGAACAAAGAAGAGUGGAAGACGGAAGUCCACGACAGUCAUUCAGGAACGCCGCAGCACUUUGUACAUUUCCUCCUCUCAGACCACAGACUCAGGCACUUAUUUCUGUGCUAUGGAUCCACAGUGA